This 64-nucleotide transfer RNA is filed under the name Bactrocera minax (Chinese citrus fly). RNAcentral describes it as "tRNA-His". The record is from RNAcentral. Lineage: Eukaryota; Metazoa; Arthropoda; Insecta; Diptera; Tephritidae.
GUUCAAAUAGUUUAUUAAAAAUAUUGAUUUGUGGUGUCAAUGAAAUGCUUGGUCAUUUUGGAUC